AGAAUGUGUGGCCAAAACGGGGAUGAUCUUGCUCUGUGGAGAGAUCACUUCCAAAGCUGUAGUGGAUUAUCAGCAAAUUGUGCGAGAGACCCUCAAGAGGAUAGGCUAUGAUGACUCUUCAAAAGGAUUAGACUAGAAGACUUGUACAGUGCUGAUAGCUCUAGAACAACAGUGUGAAGAAAUCAAACAUACUGUCUCCGAUGGCAAGAGUGACGAAGACAUUGGAUCUGGGCACCAGGUCACAAUGGAAUACAAAGAAAAGGAUGGAGCAGUGGAGCCCAUCUGUGUACAGACAUUGGUGAUCUCUGUACAUCAUGCACCCAAUAUGCCUGUACAACAAAUGCGGAAAGAACUAAUGGAAAAAGUUGUCAAAGAAGUGAUUCCAGCAAAAUAUCUAGAUGAGAACACAAUCUAUCAUCUCCUUCCAAGUGAAGUGUUUAUAGAAGGUGGUCCUAAGGCAUCUUGCUACAUAGGUGGGAACUAUGUGCACCUCUUAAACGGGGGGUUGAAGUUCAUGCACCCCCGUGUGCACUGGAUGGCAUUAUGCCUGGGAGUCAGAUGACCUUUGCUGGAGUGCUGCAGCUCC
This is a non-coding RNA of Chelonoidis abingdonii (Abingdon island giant tortoise), 586 nucleotides long. The record is from RefSeq and is a predicted model, not a curated record. Lineage: Eukaryota; Metazoa; Chordata; Testudines; Testudinidae.